Molecule: ribosomal RNA, 804 nt
Filed under: Salmonella enterica subsp. enterica serovar Durham
Lineage: Bacteria; Pseudomonadati; Pseudomonadota; Gammaproteobacteria; Enterobacterales; Enterobacteriaceae
Description: bacterial SSU rRNA
Rfam family: Bacterial small subunit ribosomal RNA
Source: RNAcentral
CUGACGCUGAGGAGCGAAAGCAUGGGGAGCGAACAGGAUUAGAUACCCUGGUAGUCCAUGCCGUAAACGUUGGGCACUAGGUGUGGGGGACAUUCCACGUUUUCCGCGCCGUAGCUAACGCAUUAAGUGCCCCGCCUGGGGAGUACGGCCGCAAGGCUAAAACUCAAAGGAAUUGACGGGGGCCCGCACAAGCGGCGGAGCAUGCGGAUUAAUUCGAUGCAACGCGAAGAACCUUACCAAGGCUUGACAUACACCGGAUCGUUCCAGAGAUGGUUCUUCCCUUUUGGGCUGGUGUACAGGUGGUGCAUGGUUGUCGUCAGCUCGUGUCGUGAGAUGUUGGGUUAAGUCCCGCAACGAGCGCAACCCUCGUUCUAUGUUGCCAGCACGUGAUGGUGGGGACUCAUAGGAGACUGCCGGGGUCAACUCGGAGGAAGGUGGGGAUGACGUCAAAUCAUCAUGCCCCUUAUGUCUUGGGCUUCACGCAUGCUACAAUGGCCGGUACAAUGGGUUGCGAUACUGUGAGGUGGAGCUAAUCCCAAAAAGCCGGUCUCAGUUCGGAUUGGGGUCUGCAACUCGACCCCAUGAAGUCGGAGUCGCUAGUAAUCGCAGAUCAGCAACGCUGCGGUGAAUACGUUCCCGGGCCUUGUACACACCGCCCGUCAAGUCACGAAAGUUGGUAACACCCGAAGCCGAUGGCCUAACCCUUGUGGAGGGAGUCGUCGAAGGUGGGACUGGCGAUUGGGACUAAGUCGUAACAAGGUAGCCGUACCGGAAGGUGCGGCUGGAUCACCUCCUUUCUAAGGA